Molecule: long non-coding RNA, 590 nt
Organism: Solanum dulcamara
Lineage: Eukaryota; Viridiplantae; Streptophyta; Magnoliopsida; Solanales; Solanaceae
Exons: 2
Source: RefSeq, a predicted model, not a curated record
AUCUCAUUUCACACGAUCAAAAUCCAUAUAAAUACUUCGAAAGCCAUUGUACUUGAAAUUCAAGUGCUAAAAAAAAAGCUCUCAUAAUUCUUAGUACUUAAAUUCUUAUAGAAAGGUUUGCAAUAUGGCAGCAGUACUUUCCAACAACACCAUAAGGUCCAUAGUGAUUACACUUAUGAUCUAUGUUAUUCUCUUGUCUCCUUUGCUACUAUGGUCUUGCGAUGCAUCUCGAGAGCUCGCGUCGAGGAAGUUUUCCCCAGGCGUUGCAUGUCUUCAUUGUGUGGGGUGUUGUGAACCAACACCCCCAGGCACCUGUUGCACCCGCUGUGGUUGUUGAAGUUUCUCUUCUAUGUCAGAAUUGAACGAGUUUGAUCAACAAUUGGUGUGACUUUGAGUUAUAUACGUACAUGUUAUUCAAUAAAGAAGGAACUUAUUGGUUUCUUUAGGUUAAUUUUAGGAGAGUUAAUUAUUGUGUGUACAUUGUGGGGAACACCGUAUUUGUAAUGUUUUGUAUUUCAAAGUUAAUAAAAAUUACGAGAAGAAAAGCCUGAAGUUUUAUCUUUACGUGAAGUUGUGACUGUUAACAAUUA